GCCGCCGCCGCCGCGCAGGCCAAACCCACCGGCGCGCCCGGACCAGAGUGGCAGGGAACGAGCACGUCGGGCACCCGGGGAGGGAGGGCGAGGCGGGGGAAGGGGGAGGGCAGAGGCCCGGAAAGCUCCGCAGACAGCCGCCGGCUGCGACUGGCAGGCCCGGGAGCGAGCUUGGUGCUGCAGCCGCAGCCGGGGGCGGCCAGAAUGAUGGUGAUAUGUGACAUUUAUAGCUGAUUUAUCAGAUCUCAGAACUAUGAAUUGUAUGAUUUCUUAGUCAACCAGCACCAAUCAUGUGGACCACAGUGAGUUCCAGGACGUCUAAAAGAAGCAGUUGGAAGUCAAGAUGGCUAUGAUUCUUCAUCAUUGUUGUCUCCAAGGAAAGAUCCUAAAGCAAAGUGGUGAAAAGCACCAAAUGCC
Molecule: long non-coding RNA, 417 nt
Organism: Equus quagga
Lineage: Eukaryota; Metazoa; Chordata; Mammalia; Perissodactyla; Equidae
Exons: 3
Source: RefSeq, a predicted model, not a curated record